GAUGAAGAACUCAGCGAAAUGCGAUAACUAAUGUGAAUUGCAGAAUUCCGUGAAUCAUCGAGUCUUUGAACGCACAUUGCGCCCCCUGGUAUUCCGGGGGGCAUGCCUGUCCGAGCGUCAUUGCUGCCCAUCAAGCACGGCUUGUGUGUUGGGUCCCGUCCCCCUCUCCCGGGGGACGGACCCGAAAGGCAGCGGCGGCACCGCGUCCGGUCCUCGAGCGUAUGGGGCUUUGUCACCCGCUCUUGUAGGCCCGGCCGGCGCUUGCCGACACCCAACCAUUUUUUUCAGGUUGACCUCGGAUCAGGUAGGGAUACCCGCUGAACUUAAGCAUAUCAAUAAGCGGAGGA
This 347-nucleotide unclassified non-coding RNA is filed under the name soil metagenome. RNAcentral's name for it is "partial contains 5.8S ribosomal RNA, internal transcribed spacer 2, and large subunit ribosomal RNA". The stretch from base 1 to 120 matches the Rfam family "5.8S ribosomal RNA", at positions 35 to 154 of the family's 154-position model. The record is from RNAcentral.